This 253-nucleotide ribosomal RNA is filed under the name uncultured bacterium. RNAcentral's name for it is "partial 16S ribosomal RNA". It matches the Rfam family "Bacterial small subunit ribosomal RNA", at positions 524 to 776 of the family's 1533-position model. The record is from RNAcentral.
UACGUAGGGUGCGAGCGUUAAUCGGAAUUACUGGGCGUAAAGCGUGCGCAGGCGGUUUUGUAAGUCUGACGUGAAAGCCCCGGGCUCAACCUGGGAAUUGCGUUGGAGACUGCAAGGCUUGAAUCUGGCAGAGGGGGGUAGAAUUCCACGUGUAGCAGUGAAAUGCGUAGAGAUGUGGAGGAACACCGAUGGCGAAGGCAGCCCCCUGGGUCAAGAUUGACGCUCAUGCACGAAAGCGUGGGGAGCAAACAGG